This 1796-nucleotide long non-coding RNA is filed under the name Theobroma cacao (cacao). RNAcentral's name for it is "long non-coding RNA (TCAC_LNC000862)". The record is from RNAcentral. Lineage: Eukaryota; Viridiplantae; Streptophyta; Magnoliopsida; Malvales; Malvaceae.
UUUUUUUGCGUCUUUUCUUUUCCCGUACACUCCCAUCUCUCCUCGGGUCGGCUCGAAUCUAGUUGAUAUUUUUCUUUUUUUCAUAUUUCUUUUUUCCCUUCUCCAUAUUAUGCUUUCAAAGUUGUCUCAAGUCGGCUUGGGCAGGGGGCAAGGAUGAUCACUUUCUCAUCUCUAUUUCUAGGCUCACGUGAGAGCCUUUUGAUUUCUUAGGAUUUAGACCUAACCGUUCAAUAGUGUACGACUGAUGAACAUGUAUAGUCUGAAAUGGAUGUCGUGUUUGGGUUAUUUGGUGUUGUCCUCUCUGUGUCUAUCUUUAACCUGCUACCUUCCUUGCUAUCUGUUGUGUUUUCAUAAGUUUAUAUCUGUUUUUUCAGUAUCGUUUUUUUCCCCUUGACUCUCUAUGUUUGUGUAUCUGUGAAUUUGUUUGCCUUCUCUCUGUUUAAUUCUGUUGUUAGGGUUUCUCAAGUGUCAAGAAGUUCUGCCUUUCAGGUUGUUCCUCACAAAUUCUUCUUUGUUUUUUUCCAUGUUAUUUAUGUUUUUUUUUUUUUCCUUUGGUGAUUGUUGUACGGGGAAAAUGGGCUCGAAUGGAUAUGGGGUGAUAUUCUUUUGGGGAAAAUUGGUUCGACUUGGACAUGGGGUGGUGUUCAUUUGCAUCUUUGAUUUGGAAUUUGUGUUUUUUUUUUUCAUGGGUUUUGUUAUUGCAACUCUGUUGUUGGUGUUUCGGUACUGGAUACGAUUUUGUACAUUUUUUCCAACGUUUUGUUAUUGAGAUUUUUAAUUGAAAUGUGACUGGUUUUUUAGAUAUGUUUCAUAAUUGGUUUUUUUAGAUAUGUUUCAUUAUUUAUUUUACAGUUUGAUAUUUUUGUGAUUGUAGCAAAGAUUAUAGAAUAAAAUAAAUGAGGUUGAGCUUCUGCUGACUUUUAUUUUUGUUUUUGUAUUCAUCAUGUUGGAAAAGGAUGUUGAUUAUAUAUAUCUGUUAGUGCUUGAAAGUGAUUCAUUCCAUACCUUUUUUCCUUUUAUAUUACAGUGGAAACUCAAUAUGAUAGUGAUGUUCAACUUGAACAGGCUCACAUGUUUGUUAUUAUUGAUGAAUUUUUUUUUUUAUUUUUCUUCCUUUAUUACUAUCUAGGAAAAAUGAAAUGAAGUAGGCAAAAGUUCAAAGCUUUCACGUUAAAACUUAUUAGAUCGAGGUUCAUUACAGUAUUUUAUAAAAAAUAUGGAGUGACGUUCUUUUACAAAUCUGUCAUUGGUAUUGUGAUUUUCAAUGUAGAUUUUGUUCAUUUAUUCAUGGAUUUCCUUAUUGAUUUGCUUUUUUUUUUUCUUUGUUUGCAAGGGACUCUAACUCUACUUUAGUUUCUGUGUCAGUGCUUAUAACCAUUAAUUGUAAGUAAUUUACUUCAUGGGUGUUUUUAUUAGAUAGCUUUUCCUAUUGUUGUUUGGGAAAAAUGGAUUGUUAAAGUGUUGUUUAAGAACAUGGAGUCAUGUUCUUUUGCAGCUGUCUUAUUGGUAUUUUGUUAUUCGAUUUGGAUUUUGUUCAUUUAUUCAUGGGUUUAAUUAUUGAUUUGCUUUUAUUUUCUUUUUCUGCAGGGCAAUCUGCUUCAGUUUUUGUGUUACUGUUUACAACGAUUGUAAGUAAUUUACUUCACGGUUUGUUUCCCUAUUACAGACUGCAACGGGAAUUGAAGUUGAUUAUGAUGUUCAACUUGACCGAAUUGAUAUCUUUAGUAAUAUUCAUAGGUUUAUAGUUGCUUUUACUUUACCUAAUGUUAAUAUUCAUAAGUGGAUGAUGAUUUGCU